Molecule: transfer RNA, 74 nt
Filed under: Stegodyphus mimosarum
Lineage: Eukaryota; Metazoa; Arthropoda; Arachnida; Araneae; Eresidae
Rfam family: tRNA
About the family: Transfer RNA (tRNA) molecules are approximately 80 nucleotides in length.
Source: Rfam by way of RNAcentral
GUCUUCGUGGUGUAGUGGGCCAGCGCGCUGGAUGCGUAAGCCAGAAGUCCGUGGUUCAAUUCCCGGCGAAGGCC